GUAGCUCAGUGGUAGAGCUAUCGGCUGUUAACCGAUCGGUCGUAGGUUCGAGUCCUACCUGUGGAGCCA
This 69-nucleotide transfer RNA is filed under the name Staphylococcus aureus. Its description in RNAcentral is "tRNA-Asn". It matches the Rfam family "tRNA". From Rfam's summary of the family: Transfer RNA (tRNA) molecules are approximately 80 nucleotides in length. Their secondary structure includes four short double-helical elements and three loops (D, anti-codon, and T loops). Lineage: Bacteria; Bacillati; Bacillota; Bacilli; Caryophanales; Staphylococcaceae. RNAcentral also lists the same sequence under 2 other names. The record is from RNAcentral.